RNAcentral lists this ribosomal RNA (510 nucleotides) under uncultured bacterium. RNAcentral's name for it is "partial 16S ribosomal RNA". It matches the Rfam family "Bacterial small subunit ribosomal RNA", at positions 28 to 507 of the family's 1533-position model. The record is from RNAcentral.
GACGAACGCUGGCGGCGUGCUUAACACAUGCAAGUCGAACGAAGAGCGCUGGACGCUUGCUUCUCUCAAUCUUAGUGGCGAACGGGUGAGUAACGCGUAAUCAACCUGCCCUUCAGAGGGGGACAACAGUUGGAAACUACUGCUAAUACCGCAUACGAUCUAAUCUCGGCAUCGAGGAUAUAUGAAAGGUGGCCUCUACAUUUAAGCUCUCACUGCAGGAGGGGCUUGCGUCUGAUUAGCUAGUUGGUGGGGUAACGGCCCACCAAGGCGAUGAUCAGUAGACGGUCUGAGAGGAUGAACGGCCACACUGGGACUGAGACACGGCCAAGACUCCUACGGGAGGCAGCAGGGGGGAAUCUUCCGCAAUGGACGAAAGUCGGACGGAGCAACGCCGCGUGAGUGAUGACGGCCUUCGGGUUGUAAAGCUCUGUUAAGCGGGACGAAAGGCCUUCUUGCGAAUAGUGAGAAGGAUUGACGGUACCGGAAGAGAAAGCCACGGCUAACUACGUG